This 478-nucleotide ribosomal RNA is filed under the name uncultured Planctomycetales bacterium. Its description in RNAcentral is "bacterial SSU rRNA". It matches the Rfam family "Bacterial small subunit ribosomal RNA", at positions 364 to 832 of the family's 1533-position model. The record is from RNAcentral. Lineage: Bacteria; Pseudomonadati; Planctomycetota; Planctomycetia; Planctomycetales.
UUUCGCAAUGCCCGAAAGGGUGACGAAGCGACGCCGCGUGUGGGAAGAAGGCCUUCGGGUUGUAAACCACUGUCGGGAGUUAAGAAAUGCAAGGAUAUUAAUAGUGUCUUUGCUUGACUAAGGCUCCGGAGGAAGCCACGGCUAACUCUGUGCCAGCAGCCGCGGUAAUACAGAGGCGGCAAGCGUUGUUCGGAAUUAUUGGGCGUAAAGAGCACGUAGGCGGCUGUGCAAGUCGGUUGUGAAAGCCUUCCGCUUAACGGAAGAACAGCGACCGAUACUGCAUAGCUAGAGUGCGGGAGGGGAGAGUGGAACUUCUGGUGGAGCGGUGAAAUGCGUAGAUAUCAGAAGGAACGCCGGCGGCGAAAGCGGCUCUCUGGACCGUAACUGACGCUGAGUGUGCGAAAGCUAGGGGAGCAAACGGGAUUAGAUACCCCGGUAGUCCUAGCCGUAAACGAUGGGCACUAAGUAGAGGGGUUUU